Molecule: ribosomal RNA, 468 nt
Filed under: uncultured bacterium
Lineage: Bacteria
Description: partial 16S ribosomal RNA
Rfam family: Bacterial small subunit ribosomal RNA
Source: RNAcentral
GACGAACGCUGGCGGCGUGCUUAACACAUGCAAGUCGAACGGAAAGGCCCUGCUUUUGUGGGGUGCUCGAGUGGCGAACGGGUGAGUAACACGUGAGUAACCUGCCCUUGACGUUGGGAUAACUUCAUGAAACUUGGGCUAAUACCGGAUAGGAGCUCCUGCUGCAUGGUGGGGGUGGGAAAGUUUCGGCGGUUGGGGAUGGACUCGCGGCUUAUCAGCUUGUUGGUGGGGUAGUGGCUUACCAAGGCUUUGACGCGUAGCCGGCCUGAGAGGGUGACCGGCCCCAUUACGACUGGGCUGCGGCCCAGCCCACUCCGGGACGCAGCAGUGCAGAAUAUUGCCCAAUGGGCGGAACCCUGAUGCAGCACCGCCGCGUCCGGGAUAACGUCCUUGGGUUUGUAUAGUGAUUUCCCCUGUGCCGAAGCGUUAGUGACGGUACUCGGUAAAGAAGCCCCGGCUAACUACGUG